GACGAACGCUGGCGGCGUGCUUAACACAUGCAAGUCGAACGGAAAGGCCCUGCUUUUGUGGGGUGCUCGAGUGGCGAACGGGUGAGUAACACGUGAGUAACCUGCCCUUGACUUUGGGAUAACUUCAGGAAACUGGGGCUAAUACCGGAUAGGAGCUCCUGCUGCAUGGUGGGGGUUGGAAAGUUUCGGCGGUUGGGGAUGGACUCGCGGCUUAUCAGCUUGUUGGUGGGGUAGUGGCUUACCAAGGCUUUGACGGGUAGCCGGCCUGAGAGGGUGACCGGCCGCAUUGGGACUGAGAUACGGCCCAGACUCCUACGGGAGGCAGCGGUGGGGAAUAUUGCACAAUGGGCGGAAGCCUGAUGCAGCAACGCCGCGUGCGGGAUGACGGCCUUCGGGUUGUAAACCGCUUUCGCCUGUGACGAAGCGUGAGUGACGGUAAUGGGUAAAGAAGCACCGGCUAACUACGUG
Molecule: ribosomal RNA, 468 nt
Filed under: uncultured bacterium
Lineage: Bacteria
Description: partial 16S ribosomal RNA
Rfam family: Bacterial small subunit ribosomal RNA
Source: RNAcentral